UACGUAGGGUGCGAGCGUUAAUCGGAAUUACUGGGCGUAAAGCGUGCGCAGGCGGUUCGCUAAGACCUAUGUGAAAUCCCCGGGCUUAACCUGGGAACUGCAUUGGUGACUGGCGGGCUAGAGUAUGGCAGAGGGGGGUAGAAUUCCACGUGUAGCAGUGAAAUGCGUAGAGAUGUGGAGGAAUACCGAUGGCGAAGGCAGCCCCCUAGGCCAAUACUGACGCUCAUGCACGAAAGCGUGGGGAGCAAACAGG
Molecule: ribosomal RNA, 253 nt
Filed under: uncultured bacterium
Lineage: Bacteria
Description: partial 16S ribosomal RNA
Rfam family: Bacterial small subunit ribosomal RNA
Source: RNAcentral